RNAcentral lists this ribosomal RNA (2976 nucleotides) under Triticum aestivum (bread wheat). RNAcentral's name for it is "partial small subunit ribosomal RNA". The record is from RNAcentral. Lineage: Eukaryota; Viridiplantae; Streptophyta; Magnoliopsida; Poales; Poaceae.
AUGGGCACGAUGGGACACCACCAGCGGUCGCGCUCCGCCUCCGGGAGCCCCUCGGCGACGCGCUCAUCAAACGCCACCGAGCUUGACUUCGCCGCCGCCGACCUAGAGUGCCCCUUCGGCGGCAUCGGUGCCCUCGGCUCCGUGGAGCUCCGCGAGACGGCGUACGAGAUUUUCUUCAUGUCCUGCCGCUCCUCCGGUGGCGCUGCAGCGUCGAGCCCCGGGGCGCGGGGCGGCGGCGCGUCGGAGGGGGAGGUGUCGUCACCGGUGGCCGGCGCGGGGGCGAGGGGCGGGAGCGCCGUCAUGAGCAGCAAGGUGAAGAAGGCGCUGGGGCUCAAGCCGAGGCGGUCCGCGCCGACGAUGGUGCGUACCUCGAGCCAGAAUUCAGGCCCGGUCUCUCCCGGCAGAACACGGCGGCCGAUGACGUCGGCAGAGAUCAUGCGGCAACAGAUGCGGGUGACCGAGCAGAGCGACGCGCGGCUCCGUCGAACGCUCAUGCGCGCCGUCGUCGGACAGGUUGGGAAGAAGCCUGAUUCCAUCGUUCUGCCAUUGGAGCUACUUCGGCAGCUGAAGCCGUCCGAGUUCACCGACGGCGAGGAGUACCACCAGUGGCAGUUCCGGCAAAUCAAGCUCCUAGAGGCAGGCCUCCUUCUGCACCCGUCCCUCCCGCUCGACCGCCUCCACGCCGCCGUGCUCCGUUUCCGCGAGGUGAUGCGCGCCACAGAGAUCCGCGCCAUCGACACGGGCAAGGGCUCCGACGCGAUGCGGGUCCUGACCAACGCCGUGCACGCGCUCGCGUGGCGCCCCGGCAGCGGCAGCGACGCGUGCCACUGGGCCGACGGCUACCCGCUCAACGUGCUCCUCUACGUCUCCCUCCUCCAGACCGUCUUCGACCACAGGGAGCCCACCGUGGUGCUAGACGAGGUGGACGAGCUGCUGGAGCUCAUCAAGAAGACUUGGCCGAUCCUGGGCGUCGGCCGGGCGGUGCACAACGUGUGCUUCGCCUGGGUCUUCUUCCAGCAGUACGUGGUGACCGAGCAGGCCGAGCCAGACCUCGCGUCCGCGACUCUCGCCCUGCUCGCCGACGUGGCGGCCGACGCCAAGCAGGGGAGCCGCGAGUCCCUGUCCCGUGACCCGGUGUACGCCAAGGUGCUCCUCAGCGCGCUCGGCAAGAUGCAGGAGUGGUCGGAGAAGCGGUUGCUGGACUACCACGAGAGGUACGAGAGAGGCACCGGCGGGACUGCCACGGAGGGCAUGGAGAUAUUGCUGUCCUUGGCGCUUGCCGCAGGCAAGAUCGUCGCCGACCGCGAAUACGCGGGCACCGGGAACUUCACCGCCGACCGCGUCGACUACUACAUCAGGUGUUCCAUGAAGAACAUCUUCACCAAAAUACUCGAGAAUGGCAUGCGAGAGGCAGACCCUGCAAACGACCCCGGCGUGAUCCUGACGCGGCUGGCGAGGGAGACGGAGCAGCUGGCCAAGUUCGAGCGCGCCAACUUCAGCCCGCUGCUGAGGCGGUUGCACCCGGCCCCCAUAGCGGUCGCCGCAGUCACCCUGCACGGCUGCUUCGGCGUGGUGCUGAGAGAGUACCUGGGCAAGGUCACCAUCCUGACGGAGGAGCUCGUCCGCGUGCUCCACUCUGCGAAUCGCCUGGAGAAGGCCCUGGCACAGAUGACCGCCGAGGACGCGGCGGACUGCGAGGACGACCGGGCAAGGGCCGUCGUGGGCGACAUGGAGCCCUACGAGGUGGAGUCAGUGGUGAUGAGCUUGCUCAAAGCUUGGAUGGACGACAGGCUUCGGAUCAGCGCGGACUGCCUCCUCAGAGCCAAAGAAACCGAGAGCUGGAUUCCCAAGUCCAAGGAGGAGCCUUUCCCCGCGUCGGCAAUAGAGUUGAUGAGGCUGUCCAGGGCCACCAUCGACGAGUUCUCUGACAUUCCGGCGACGGCAAAAGACGACGUGGUUCAGGCGCUCGUCGACGGCCUCGACUCAAUCUUUCAAGACUACAUCUCCUUCGUGGCAUCAUGUGGGUCGAAGCAGAACUACGUCCCUCCCCUCCCGGCGCUGACGAGGUGCAACCAGGACUCGGGCUUCUUCCGGCUGUGGAAGAAGGCGGUGCUGCCGUCGUGCCAAGCGCCGGAGGCCAACCCGCGCGGCGGCGCCUCUCAGCACAACCCGCGGCCAUCCAUAAGCCGCGGCACGCAGCGCCUCUACGUCCGCCUCAACACGCUCCACUACGUCCUCACCCACGUCCAGGCCAUCGAGGAGCCGCUCUCGUCACUCUCCUCUGCCUCCGGCGGUAACCGGGUGGCAACUUCCCUCAACUUCGACCGCACCCGCGCCGCGGCCCAGUCGGCGGUGUCCCACGUCGCCGAGGUGGCCGCAUCCCGGCUUAUCUUCCUCGACUCGCGCCACGCCUUCUACCAGGGCCUGUACAUCCGCAACGUCGUCGACACACGCAUCCGGCCGGUGCUCCGCGCGCUGAAGCAGAACCUGUCGUUCCUCGUGUCCGUGCUCGUUGACCACGCGCAGCCGGUGGCCGUGCGGGAGGUGAUGAAGGCCUCGUUCCAGGCGUUCCUGAUGGUCCUCCUCGCCGGCGGCAACGACCGGAGUUUCACGAGGGCGGACCACGGGAUGGUGGAGGAGGACUUCCGGAGCCUGAAGCGCGCCUUCUGCACGUGCGGCGAGGGCCUGGUCCCCGAGGACGUGGUGGUGCAGGAGGCGGAGGCCGUAGAGGGCGUCGUUGAGCUCAUGGCUCGGUCGACGGAGCACCUCAUCACGGCGUUCGGCGCCGCCACGUCGGAGUCCAUCGCGGGCGUGCGAGAAUACGAGGACAGCGAUGGGGGCACGACCCACGUACCGCCGACGAGGCAGUGGGGCCCUGCGGACCCAAACACCAUCCUCCGCGUGUUGUGCCACCGCGACGACGAGGCCGCCAACCAGUUCUUGAAGCGCACGUUCCAGCUCGCCAAGCGGCGGUGA